Molecule: unclassified non-coding RNA, 236 nt
Filed under: Hevea brasiliensis (rubber tree)
Lineage: Eukaryota; Viridiplantae; Streptophyta; Magnoliopsida; Malpighiales; Euphorbiaceae
Source: RNAcentral
AUAGAAUUAUUAUUCUUUUCAGUAUUAUGUAGCAUCUGGAUGAAGAGGAAUGCAGGAUUCCAGAAUUUUUCCUUUAUUUUGGGACAAGGUGGUUUUCUGGGCAUCUCAUUGGACUCUCACUUCAAGGGCUUUACCAGGUACCUUUUUAGUCUUAUCUCUUUGUAAUGCUUUUUUGUUGUGUUGAUUAGGCUACGAACCUGUCCUCCACAUCAUAAUCUUCCACAGAAGUCUAAUCA